RNAcentral lists this antisense RNA (131 nucleotides) under Xenorhabdus budapestensis. Its description in RNAcentral is "HPnc0260". It matches the Rfam family "Bacterial antisense RNA HPnc0260". The record is from RNAcentral. Lineage: Bacteria; Pseudomonadati; Pseudomonadota; Gammaproteobacteria; Enterobacterales; Morganellaceae.
AGUACCAAUUUUAUGACAACUAAUCAUCGGGAUAACCAGAUUAGAAAUGAAGAGAGUUAAAAACGAAAAAAUAAAGAAAAACUAUAAAGAUAUGGUGCGUCCGAGUGGACUCGAACCACCGACCCCCACCA